UACAGAGGGUGCAAACGUUGCUCGGAAUCAUUGGGCGUAAAGCGCACGUAGGCGGCCCAGCAAGUGGGGAGUGAAAGCCCUCGGCUUAACCGAGGAAGUGCUUUCCAAACUACUGGGCUUGAAUACUGGAGAGGGUCGCGGAAUUCCCGGUGUAGAGGUGAAAUUCGUAGAUAUUGGGAAGAACACCAGUGGCGAAGGCGGCUCACUGGCCCGUAACUGACGCUGAGGUGCGAAAGCGUGGGGAGCAAACAGG
This 253-nucleotide ribosomal RNA is filed under the name uncultured bacterium. RNAcentral's name for it is "partial 16S ribosomal RNA". It matches the Rfam family "Bacterial small subunit ribosomal RNA", at positions 524 to 776 of the family's 1533-position model. The record is from RNAcentral.